Molecule: ribosomal RNA, 490 nt
Filed under: uncultured bacterium
Lineage: Bacteria
Description: bacterial SSU rRNA
Rfam family: Bacterial small subunit ribosomal RNA
Source: RNAcentral
AGAGUUUGAUUAUGGCUCAGGACGAACGCUGGCGGCGUGCUUCAUACAUGCAAGUCGAACGAGAAACUAACUUCGGUUAGUGGAAAGUGGCGGACGGGUGAGUAAUAUGUAGAGAAUCUGCCCUGGAGAGGGGGACAACAGAGGGAAACUUCUGCUAAUACCCCAUAUGAGCGUAGUUGUGAUACUAUUCUUGAAAGAUUUAUCGCUCCGGGAUGAGUCUGCAUCUGAUUAGCUAGUUGGGGGUGUAAUGGACCACCAAGGCGACGAUCAGUAGCUGGUUUGAGAGGAUGAUCAGCCACAAUGGGACUGAGACACGGCCCAUACUCCUACGGGAGGCAGCAGUAGGGAAUUUUGCGCAAUGGGCGAAAGCCUGACGCCAGCAACGCCGCGUGAUCGUAGACGCCCUUCGGGGUGUAAAGAUCUGUCAGUAGGGACGAACAAUGACUGUACCUACAGAGGAAGCACCGGCUAACUCCGUGCCAGCCGCUGC